This 301-nucleotide ribosomal RNA is filed under the name uncultured bacterium. Its description in RNAcentral is "partial 16S ribosomal RNA". It matches the Rfam family "Bacterial small subunit ribosomal RNA", at positions 509 to 807 of the family's 1533-position model. The record is from RNAcentral.
CAGCCGCCACGGUAAUACGUAGGUGGCAAGCGUUGUCCGGAAUUGUUGGGCGUAAAGGGCUCGCAGGCGGUUUCUUAAGUCUGAUGUGAAAGCCCCCGGCUCAACCGGGGAGGGUCAUUGGAAACUGGGAAACUUGAGUGCAGAAGAGGAGAGUGGAAUUCCACGUGUAGCGGUGAAAUGCGUAGAGAUGUGGAGGAACACCAGUGGCGAAGGCGACUCUCUGGUCUGUAACUGACGCUGAGGAGCGAAAGCGUGGGGAGCGAACAGGAUUAGAAACCCCCGUAGUCCCUGUCUCUUAUAC